RNAcentral lists this ribosomal RNA (497 nucleotides) under uncultured bacterium. RNAcentral describes it as "partial 16S ribosomal RNA". It matches the Rfam family "Bacterial small subunit ribosomal RNA", at positions 28 to 507 of the family's 1533-position model. The record is from RNAcentral.
GAUGAACGCUGGCGGCGUGCUUAAUACAUGCAAGUCGAGCGAACAGACCCGGCGCUUGCUCCUCUCACGUUAGCGGCACACGUGUGAGUAACACGUGUAUCACCUCCCUAUCUUACUGGUAUAACUUCGGGAAACCGGAUCUUAUACCGUAUAAUCUAUUGAACCGCAUGGUUCAAUAGUGAAAUACGGUUUUGCUGUCUCUUCUAGCUGGAUCCGCGCCGCAUUGGCUAGUUGUGAAGGUAACGGCUUACCACGGCGACGAUGCGUAGCCGACGUGAGAGAGUGAUCGGCGACACGGGAACGGAGACACGGUCAAGAGGACUACGGGAGGCAGCAGAAGGGAAUCUGAGGCAAUGGGCGAAAGCAUGACGGAGUAACGGGGCGUGAGUGACGAAGGUGUUCGGAUCGUAAAAAUGUGUUAUGAGGGAAGAACAAAUGUGGAAGUAAAUAUGCACGUCGUGACGGUAACUAAUAAGAAAGCAACGGCUAACUACGUG